RNAcentral lists this ribosomal RNA (495 nucleotides) under uncultured bacterium. RNAcentral's name for it is "partial 16S ribosomal RNA". It matches the Rfam family "Bacterial small subunit ribosomal RNA", at positions 28 to 507 of the family's 1533-position model. The record is from RNAcentral.
GAUGAACGCUGGCGGCGUGCCUAAUACAUGCAAGUCGAGAACAGACGAGGAGCUUGCUCCUCUGACGUUAGCGGCGGACGGGUGAGUAACACGUGGAUAACCUACCUAUAAGACUGGGAUAACUUCGGGAAACCGGAGCUAAUACCGGAUAAUAUAUUGAACCGCAUGGUUCAAUAGUGAAAGACGGUUUUGCUGUCACUUAUAGAUGGAUCCGCGCCGCAUUAGCUAGUUGGUAAGGUAACGGCUUACCAAGGCAACGAUGCGUAGCCGACCUGAGAGGGUGAUCGGCCACACUGGAACUGAGACACGGUCCAGACUCCUACGGGAGGCAGCAGUAGGGAAUCUUCCGCAAUGGGCGAAAGCCUGACGGAGCAACGCCGCGUGAGUGAUGAAGGUCUUCGGAUCGUAAAACUCUGUUAUUAGGGAAGAACAAAUGUGUAAGUAACUAUGCACGUCUUGACGGUACCUAAUCAGAAAGCCACGGCUAACUACGUG